Molecule: long non-coding RNA, 1438 nt
Filed under: Scleropages formosus (Asian bonytongue)
Lineage: Eukaryota; Metazoa; Chordata; Actinopteri; Osteoglossiformes; Osteoglossidae
Description: lncRNA (ENSSFOG00015033215.1)
Source: RNAcentral
UCCAGAGCGCCCCUCCCCACACGCCCCCGCAGCCCUGAGAUCGUAUCGGUUUGGCCCGCAUGGAAAUGAGAUGUUUUCCCUUGUAAAGCGCCACAAAUAUGAAGACAGCGGGAGUUAUCAAUAAAACAUAGACCCCUGAGAGCCCAGCAGAGCAGCUGCGACGGCUCUGAUCCACAGGGCUCGAGGCGUGCGACGACACGCCAACCGGCAUGGCUUCCCUCGCCGUGUGCGGACAGGUGGAGCGGCAGCCCGAGCCAGGAGACAGGAAGUGUGCAGCCUUUGUGUGUGUGUGUGUGUGUAUGAAUGUGUGCGGGGGGAGGAGGGGAGUGUACCAGCUCUGUGUGUGUGUGUGGGAUGGUGAUUUAAGGCAGCACAGCGUGGGAACCUAUUUACUGUGGACUCCUGACGCUGUUCGCUCACGGCCGACAUGGCACCAGAGUUUGACAACAUCCUUUCGGACUCCGGUUCUGGCAAUUUCGAAUACAAAGAGGCCCCCGACCAAACCGCUGACCCAUUUGCAGAGGACCUCACUUCUACGCAUAUUGAUCCCACAGAUUUGCUGCUGUUCAGACCGGAAACAGACACUACAGUCUCCCCGGAGGCGGGGGGUUCGAGCGGCGUGUGGCUCGUCGUGAUCGGCCUGAUUAUCACAAUGCUCGCUGUGGCCAUCGCCGUCAGCCUUCUGGUCAGGAGGUGGAAGAAGAGACAAACUGCCAGCGAUGCAAAAGCGGAUCCUUUCUUAGACGACUACUACGCUGAGAAGAUUCCAGCGCCCAGGUUUGAGGAUGAUGCGCCCUCUGUGCUGGAGCUGGAGCUGGACAUGCGGGACUGGGACGAGUGGGAGAUGACGACCGAAUCCGAGGAAAUUCCUGAAAGACAAAACUAACCCCGGACCAUUCCGCAAGAAAAGUGUCGCCGAUUUCAGAAAGCGGGAGCGACAAAUCAGCACCCUCCCUCGUCUCAUCUUUCCCCGCUCUCUCGCCUCGCGUGUCCAACACCGUCUGACGCGGGGGGGGGGGCACCUUUGCGGCUUUGUGGGUGUGCGGUCGGCCCGAAUCUCAGCCGUACGUCCAAAAGUCGCGCAGGUGUGAGGGUACCGCACUUUUGGGGGCGUUCCUGCAGCGAGAGACUCCGCCGGACAGGCGGCGGCGUGCUCAGCCGUCCCUGCGUGACACCGCGGACGUCUCCCUGCGACGCCGCCUCGCCUCGCCUCGGCCCGCGGUGCGCAAUCCCCCUCGGCAGCCGGUCGAGGCCUCGCUCGGCUCGGCGCUGCCUCUUCCGUCUCAUUUGUUCGACGUGUUCCUGCUCCUGCCGUGGAUAUUUUUGACACUGUUUGAUUUAAGCUCGAUGCUGUAAAUUAUCGACCAUGUGCUGUGAGACUAAGCACGCAUGCCACUACUACAAUAAAGCCAACAGAGAUGCUGUGUGUAAUCGCUUA